Molecule: transfer RNA, 70 nt
Filed under: Loxodonta africana (African savanna elephant)
Lineage: Eukaryota; Metazoa; Chordata; Mammalia; Proboscidea; Elephantidae
Rfam family: tRNA
About the family: Transfer RNA (tRNA) molecules are approximately 80 nucleotides in length. Their secondary structure includes four short double-helical elements and three loops (D, anti-codon, and T loops).
Source: Rfam by way of RNAcentral
GCAGUGGGGGUUCAGUGGUAGAAUGCUUGCCUUCCAUGUGGGAGACCCAGGUUCGAUACUGGCCAAUGUA